This 73-nucleotide transfer RNA is filed under the name Camelus bactrianus (Bactrian camel). It matches the Rfam family "tRNA". From Rfam's summary of the family: Transfer RNA (tRNA) molecules are approximately 80 nucleotides in length. RNAcentral also lists the same sequence under 1 other name. Lineage: Eukaryota; Metazoa; Chordata; Mammalia; Artiodactyla; Camelidae. The record is from Rfam by way of RNAcentral.
GGGGGCACAGCUCAGUGGUGGAGCACGUGCCUAGCAUGCACGAGGGUCCUGGGUUCAAUCCCCAGUCCCUCCU